Polypterus senegalus (gray bichir) is the source of this 1090-nucleotide long non-coding RNA. RefSeq lists it as uncharacterized. NCBI's taxonomy places the organism in Eukaryota, Metazoa, Chordata, Cladistia, Polypteriformes, Polypteridae. The transcript has 3 exons. The record is from RefSeq and is a predicted model, not a curated record.
UAGCGGGUACUGACUGCAAGCACCAGUCGGGGUCACUAGCGGAUUGCGCAGAAAAGCACAAGGGCAUCAGCACCUCAGUUUUCCCGAUGCUUUACACUAACUUGUAUAUUUUGUUGUUUAUCACAUCCGAUUGCUGCUGCUGACUGAAAACAGACUCCCAAUACAAAUUAACGAAGCACCAGCCGACUGCGUAAGGGAGUGGACAGCCGCUAUCACGGGCUGCGCGGGACACAUCCUGAGGUCGCGCUGCUUGGGCGCACACAGACGAGAAGCAGUGCGGUGCAUGAACACCACAGUCCUCCGGAAGGUUUAAAUUGUAACAGCAGCCUGAGGCCUGGAACUACAAAUCACAGCGAUGCCAAUCAUCUCUGCCACUGCCUCCCUGAAUGAGCCACUGAAGCUGGCAGCUCACACUGCAGUGACAUAGAGACACGAUGGGUUCUCACUAAGAAGGAUGAGGAGGACGAGACUCAAAUGUCAGGGCUGACAGAAAGCUAAAGCUGCAUUGGAUUGCCAUAAAUUCUAAGUGUACACAGAAGAGAGGAAAGAAAGAAAGCCUUAACUGGACAUUUGCAAGGUCAGUCUGUCUUUCACUUCCAGCCAUUGACUUUUUUAGGGACUUUACAAGUUACUUAUCCCUUGACUGAUCCCUCAGCCCCAAAGCUAUGGGCCACGAAAGUCCACCUUCUUCAAAUUAAACCAUUUAAAGCAGCCAAUUUGAAAAAUGUACAGAAAAAGACAUUGCAGUAUAACUCUGUAAAAGCUGAAAGAACCAAGGAAGACCGAGGCUUUCUCAACAGGAGACAUGACUGAUUAACUCAUCUGACAAGUGAAGAAAAAUGUACAAGUGAAGUCUCAGAGGGGUCGCUGCAUAUCACAAGCAGUAAAUUACACCGCACUGGAGCUCCAUGAGAUAGAAAAGGAAUAAGUAGCUGAUGCAUGGAUAAAUUACUGUUCAAUAUGAUUGGCAUGUGGUUCUUUUAUUAAGAGUACUUACUUAAAUAUGCUGGCCUGAGAACACACUCGGGUGUUUCAGCCUUGGCUGAUUCAAUUCAUUAACUGCGUCUUUUGAUUUAUUGAUGUAUUAGUA